RNAcentral lists this ribosomal RNA (3174 nucleotides) under Triticum aestivum (bread wheat). Its description in RNAcentral is "partial small subunit ribosomal RNA". Lineage: Eukaryota; Viridiplantae; Streptophyta; Magnoliopsida; Poales; Poaceae. The record is from RNAcentral.
AUGCCGGAUCCAGAGGAUAAGGACGGUGCAGAGGACGCGCAUGAGGAAGAAGAUAAAGAGGAGGAAGAGGAAGAUAAAGAGGAAGAUGAAUGGGAGCAGGAAGAAGAGGAAGAAUCGGAGGAAUCGGAAGAAGAUUCCGAGGAACCUGAGGCAGAGGAAGAACCGGGCCGUCGCGUGCUUAGCGAUGCCAGGCUCGCCGGUCGGUACACGGGGCCGCGGCCGGGCGGCGAGAUCUUCCUCAAGCGCAAGUUUGAAGGGUGGUACAUCACCAAGAUGGCGGACACCGCCUCUCCCGGCGGCACCGUCGCGUCGCGGCUGCGGUCAAAGCGGAGAUGCCCCGACGCGAAGCUGCUCCGGCAAGCCACCCGCAGAAAGCCGUACUGCGUCGACACGCCCUCGCAGUCCAGCUCGGAGGCAGAGGAGGACGACAAAGACAAACCACCGCCUCAUCCAGCGCUAUCGUCCAGUGACGAGGGCGGGCGCGGACAUGGCAGGACGGGGAUAAGGCGCCCACGGCGCCGAGGACAAAACGCCGAUGAUGACUCUGACGAAGACGGCAGAUCGGCGACGAGGCGGCGCCGAGGACAAUACGCUGCCCACAGCGAUGAAGACUUUGAGGAACCCGGCGGAAUGGCCGCCGCGAGGAGAAGGGAGAAGCAGCGCAUGGAAGAAGAUGAUGCUGCUGCUGACGGCGGCGAUGAGGCUGAUGAGCAGGGAGCUUCCCGGAGGGCAAAGAAAGAAGGAGCGGCGUCCUGCCGGCAGGCGGCCGGCCGCAAGGGCAAGGACUUCCCCGCAGAGGGAUGGGAGCAGCAGGGCGAUGUCACCUUCAAGAAGAGCUCCCUGGUUCCUCCGAGGCGGCAGGACGGGCGAGACCAAGAGACUUACGACGAUCUGCUCUACUCCAUUUUCGAGGGAAUCGAGACCACUCUUCAGAACGCCUCUGCUCCUCUGGACGCCCCUGUUCCUGCACCAGAGCAGGGAGGCGAUCCGUUUCCUCUGGUGUUCUCCUUCGGGGUUGUAGAUGAGGUGGUGCCGGAGAAGACUGCUCUGGACGACCUGUGGGCACAACGUGACUUGGCCUUGGACUUGGAGGCCGAAUCCAACAAGGUUUCUUCUCACACUUGCCACAAGGACGCAGAGAGCGAUGAGCAUGAAAUUCCUGCACAUGGAGGGACUUUUUGCAAGCGAGGGAAGCAUGAUCUCUUUCAUGAUGAUCAAAUCGGCAUUCGAUGCCGAAAAUGCGAUUACAUCGAAAUCGAAAUUAGACACGUAUUUCCAUCCAUGGCCAAGGAAUCGACGGAUAGGGAGCCAGCAGCGGAGCAUGAUAGGCUUGACAUGUUCGUUGAUGACAUCCUGAAAUCAGUUGGUUAUGAAGGGGCAAGCAACGUGGCACUGGGAAGUGACAAAACUGGCGUCGUCUGGGAUCUCAUUCCUGGGGUACGGGAAGACAAGUUCCCACACCAGCGGGAAGGGUUCGAGUUCAUGUGGAGAAAACUCGCAGGAGGGAUCGACAUUGAGCAGCUGAGGCACACCAUGAACACUGACACCACAAGUGGCUGUGUGAUCUCUCAUGCCCCGGGGACCGACAAGACCAGGCUAGCAAUCACAUUCGUGCAGUCUUACCUGGAGCUCUUCCCGCACUGCAGGCCAGUUAUCAUUGCCCCCAGGGGUAUGCUGGCUACAUUGGAGCAGGAGUUCAGUAAAUGGAAUGUCAAGCUCCCAUUCCAUGUCCUCAGUUCCAGUGAGAUCCAGUGGGAUCAAGACAAGACCAUCCAGAAACUGGUCUCCAAGGAUCAUGGUCUGGGCCAGAAGCUGGCCAUGAAGAAACUGAGCCAGAAAUCCAAGAUGAUGCUGAAGCUUGCAUCAUGGUAUGAAGGGAGCAGCAUCAUCGGUCUAAGCUAUUCGCUCUACAGGAAUCUUGCCAAGGGCGAAGGCAAGGAUGGAGAAAUGCAGAGGAACCUGCUUCUUGAGAAGCCCGGCUUGCUGGUCCUCGACGAGGGGCACACACCAAGGAACAAGAAGAGCCUCAUUUGGGAAGUUCUCGCAGAGGUCAGCACCGAAAAGCGGAUAAUCCUGUCAGGGACUCCAUUCCAGAACAACUUCCUAGAGCUGUACAACAUCUUGUGCCUGGUUAAGCCCAAGUUUGCCAAAGAUUUUGCUUGUACAAGACUCAGCAAGAAAGGAGUUGCUUCCACCAGCCAAUCAAGAGCAGCGCCUUAUGUGGAGGAGGAUGAAGGCAAAGAAUUCUGGAGUUCAUUAAGGAUAAGUAACAUCACGGAUGAACACAUCACUGAAAUCCGGGAAAAGCUGGGCCCUUUUGUGCACAUCCAUAAUGGUGACAUUCUUCAGAAGUCUCUUCCAGGAUUGAGAGAAUCUGUUGUGAUCCUGAACCCUCUUCCUCGUCAGAAGGAAAUCAUCGCAAUGAUGGAGGAAAGUGCAGGGAAGGGUUUUCUUGACGCAGAAUACAAGAUAUCUCUUGCGUCCAUACACCCAUUCCUCGUCACAAGCACAAAGCUGUCAGACACAGAAGCCUCUGUUGUGGACAAGAUGAAGAGCGUGCGGCUGAACCCAUGCGAAGGAGUGAAGACAUGGUUCGUUUUCGAGAUCAUCCGUCUUUGCGAAGCACUGAAAGAAAGAGUGCUGGUGUUCAGUCAGUACCUUGAGCCACUGGCCCUGAUCAUGGACCAGCUUACCACAGAGCUAGACUGGACAGAAGGCAAGGAGAUCCUACUCAUGAGUGGAAAUGUGCGUGUUAAACAGCGCGAAGCCUUGAUGGAAGCCUUCAACGACAUGAACAGUGAGGCUAAGGUGAUGCUUGCAUCAACCAAGGCCUGCUGUGAAGGAAUAACACUGGUCGGUGCAUCGCGUGUGGUUCUCCUUGAUGUCGUCUGGAAUCCUUCUGUUGGACGGCAGGCGAUUGGCCGAGCCUAUAGAAUCGGCCAGGAGAAGAUUGUGUACACAUACAACCUGAUUGCAGAAGGAACAAAGGAGAAGGUCAAAUAUGACAGACAAGCUACCAAGGAUCACAUGUCCAAAUUACUGUUUUCAAAUGAACCGCAACCUACUGGGAGCAAUCUGUCACCAGAACUGAUAUCCAAUGAUAGGAUUUUGGAAAAAAUGGCUGCACGUGAAGAACUCAAAGACAUGUUUGUGCAGAUUCUCCCUUCCCAUUGA